This 253-nucleotide ribosomal RNA is filed under the name uncultured prokaryote. RNAcentral's name for it is "partial 16S ribosomal RNA". It matches the Rfam family "Bacterial small subunit ribosomal RNA", at positions 525 to 777 of the family's 1533-position model. The record is from RNAcentral.
ACGGAGGGUGCAAGCGUUAUCCGGAUUCACUGGGUUUAAAGGGUGCGUAGGUGGCUUUGUAAGUCAGUGGUGAAAUGCCGCAGCUCAACUGCGGAACUGCCAUUGAUACUGCUUAGCUUGAAUCACGUCGAGGUGGAUGGAAUAUUACAUGUAGCGGUGAAAUGCUUAGAUAUGUAAUAGAACACCGAUUGCGAAGGCAGUUCACUAGGCGUGUAUUGACACUGAGGCACGAAAGCGUGGGGAUCAAACAGGA